This 253-nucleotide ribosomal RNA is filed under the name uncultured bacterium. RNAcentral's name for it is "partial 16S ribosomal RNA". It matches the Rfam family "Bacterial small subunit ribosomal RNA", at positions 524 to 776 of the family's 1533-position model. The record is from RNAcentral.
UACGUAGGGUCCGAGCGUUGUCCGGAAUUACUGGGCGUAAAGAGCUCGUAGGUGGUUUGUCGCGUUGUUCGUGAAAACUCACGGCUCAACUGCGGGCGUGCGGGCGAUACGGGCAGACUUGAGUACUGCAGGGGAGACUGGAAUUCCUGGUGUAGCGGUGGAAUGCGCAGAUAUCAGGAGGAACACCGGUGGCGAAGGCGGGUCUCUGGGCAGUAACUGACGCUGAGGAGCGAAAGCGUGGGGAGCGAACAGG